This 480-nucleotide ribosomal RNA is filed under the name uncultured bacterium. Its description in RNAcentral is "bacterial SSU rRNA". It matches the Rfam family "Bacterial small subunit ribosomal RNA", at positions 232 to 730 of the family's 1533-position model. The record is from RNAcentral.
CGCGUUGGAUUAGCUAGUUGGUGGGGUAAAGGCCUACCAAGGCGACGAUCCAUAGCUGGUCUGAGAGGAUGAUCAGCCACAUUGGGACUGAGACACGGCCCAAACUCCCACGGGAGGCAGCAGUGGGGAAUAUUGGACAAUGGGCGCAAGCUGAUCCAGCCAUGCCGCGUGAGUGAUGAAGGCCCUAGGGUUGUAAAGCUCUUUCACCGGAGAAGAUAAUGACGGUAUCCGGAGAAGAAGCCCCGGCUAACUUCGUGCCAGCAGCCGCGGUAAUACGAAGGGGGCUAGCGUUGUUCGGAAUUACUGGGCGUAAAGCGCACGUAGGCGGACAUUUAAGUCAGGGGUGAAAUCCCAGAGCUCAACUCUGGAACUGCCUUUGAUACUGGGUGUCUGGAGUAUGGAAGAGGUGAGUGGAAUUCCGAGUGUAGAGGUGAAAUUCGUAGAUAUUCGGAGGAACACCAGUUGCGAAGGCGGCUCACU